UAUAUCUUCCAUAUCGCCCUGCAGCCCAAGACUGGUUGCCCACUGAAGCUAAGCAGGGUUGUGCCUGGUCAGUAACUGGAUGGGAGACCUCCUGGGAAAACUAGGUUGCUGCCGGAA
Sinocyclocheilus anshuiensis is the source of this 117-nucleotide ribosomal RNA. The record is from Ensembl. Lineage: Eukaryota; Metazoa; Chordata; Actinopteri; Cypriniformes; Cyprinidae.